Molecule: ribosomal RNA, 643 nt
Filed under: uncultured Actinomycetes bacterium
Lineage: Bacteria; Bacillati; Actinomycetota; Actinomycetes
Description: bacterial SSU rRNA
Rfam family: Bacterial small subunit ribosomal RNA
Source: RNAcentral
CGCGGCCUAUCAGCUUGUUGGUGAGGUAACGGCUCACCAAGGCAUCGACGGGUAGCUGGUCUGAGAGGACGAUCAGCCACACUGGGACUGAGACACGGCCCAGACUCCUACGGGAGGCAGCAGUAGGGAAUCUUGCGCAAUGGGCGAAAGCCUGACGCAGCAACGCCGCGUGAGGGAUGACGGCCUUCGGGUUGUAAACCUCUUUUAGCAGGGAAGAAGCGAAAGUGACGGUACCUGCAGAAAAAGCACCGGCUAACUACGUGCCAGCAGCCGCGGUAAUACGUAGGAUGCGAGCGUUGUCCGGAAUUAUUGGGCGUAAAGAGCUCGUAGGCGGUCUGUCGCGUCUGCUGUGAAAACCCGAGGCUCAACCUCGGGCCUGCAGUGGGUACGGGCAGACUAGAGUGCGGUAGGGGAGAUUGGAAUUCCUGGUGUAGCGGUGGAAUGCGCAGAUAUCAGGAGGAACACCGAUGGCGAAGGCAGAUCUCUGGGCCGUAACUGACGCUGAGGAGCGAAAGCGUGGGGAGCGAACAGGAUUAGAUACCCUGGUAGUCCACGCCGUAAACGUUGGGAACUAGAUGUGGGGUCCAUUCCACGGAUUCCGUGUCGCAGCUAACGCAUUAAGUUCCCCGCCUGGGGAGUACGG